UUUUGAGAAAGGCUUUGUUGUGGGAGAACUUUUUAUAAAGAUCUCCUUAGUUAAAUUUUGGCGUGGAAGUGCGUAUUCAGUCUGUGGAAUUCGUAUUUCCGGGUAUGUUUCUUAUUUAAUUUUUGUAAUGUUAUUAUUUUUAAUUGUUAGUUAAAGUUUGAAUUUUUGAAGUUUAGUUAGUGUUGUUAAUAAACUAGUUAGUUUACUAUGUUUAUUUUGGCUUGGAAUUGAUUAUGUAAAUGAGUUAUUUGUGAUGACUUUUAAUAUUUUGUGAUGAAUUUCAUUAAUUAAUAAUUAUUAAUGAUAUUAAAGUUAUUUAAUGAUUAUAUUAAAUAAUUUAGUUUAAAAAUGAUUUUAAUAUUAUAAAAAUCAUUUUAAAUGAAAAUAAGGUAUUUAAAAAUAUUUUAAGUUAUAAAAUAUAACUUUUAAUAUUUAAAUGAUAAUUUCAUUAAUAAUUAAAUAUUAAUGAUAUUAAGAUAAUAUUAAUGAUAUUUAGUUUAUUUAAUGAUUAAUAUUAAAUAAAUAGUUUAAAAAUGGUUUUACUUAUUUAAAAACCAUUUAAAGAGGAUAUUAAGGAUUUAAAAAUAUUUUAAGUUAUAAUUAAUGACUUUUAAUAUUUGGAUAAAUAGUACAUUAAUAUUUAAAUAUUAAUGGUAAUUAUUUGGGUAAUAUAAAUGUUUUAAAAAUAGUUUGAGUUAUUAUAAAUAACUUUUAUAUUUUGGCAAUGGUUUCAUUAAUAGUUUAGUAUUAAUUAAACUAUUAAUGAUAAUGGAAUUGUUUAAUGUUUAAAUCAUUUAAUUAUGAUUCCGAUAUUUGAAAGUUAUAGCCGGCCAAACUAGCUGACUUGAGAACCGAUUAUGAAGUUCUGAAUUUGAAGAAGAACACCUAUAGUAACAGUUAUAUCACUAUAGGCCCUUUAGUGACAGAUUUGAAUUAUUUUAAAUUUUUCAAUUUCUGGAAAUUGCGAAAAUGAUUAAAAAUAAGAUGUCUGAUAUUUACAGAUGUUGAGGUAUAGAAUAAGAGUCUUAGACUCAGUAUUUACCCGAUAAAGCUGUCGGUACGCCGACAAAUGUCAGACCUUAUAAAAGAAAGAAAAGACUACUGUAAGAGCAUGGAUGAGAUAUUUGAAAAAUGUAUAAAAAUAUUUCAAGUAUAGAAUAGGAACUAAAAGUAUGAUCACUGUGAUUAUGUGAUUAGACUAUGUGCUGACUGUAAUAGACAGUACUAUGUGUUAAGAUAUAUUGUUCUAAUCGAACGAAUGAUCUGAUUAUUGAUAGGUUGUGAUAAAGAGAUAAAACCUAAGUUGAGAUUUGUAAUCAGCGAAUCAGGCAAGUAUCCUACCUUUGCACUUCCUUUAUGCAAUGGACAUGAGUAAGAAGUUUCAGAAUUAUUCUAUCCCUGUACAGAUUAUGUACUCUUUGAUUAUCGACAUGUUAGCUCAGAUAUAUAUUCUGUUCAUUGAUUUCUAUAAAUGGUUAUACAAGUGUCCCCACUUGGAUAAUCAUGGCAUUUGUUCACAUGUUGAUACACCUUUGUCAAUUACCCGUAUAUAUAUGUUGAAUUACAUAUUAUUGUUGAGCAAGAUUAAAAACCUUCGGGUUUGGAACCAGGCAUGUAUGAACAUCCCUAUAUGGGAAGAUUUUUGCGCAAGGCGGAUAGAGUGAGCGAUGAAUUUCGUUCAAGUUAUGUAGUAUUGAUCAAUACAGGGUACAACGGGGCUGAUCACCCUCCGUGCCCGUAAGUUAUGACGGUUUGAGGAUAGAAUUCCGCUAAACCUUUUCGAAAAUGAAAAGAAUGUUCAUAGUAUGUUUCUUAAACCCUAUUCAAGGGUAGAGCCAGAGCCAAAUUUAAAGAAUUUGAAAGAGAGUUGUUAUGUGAAUUUUUUAUCAGUACAGAUUACUUCACAACUUUCAAUUCGUUGUAGAAGUGUUAUGUAAAGAGAAUACUUAUAUUCUUUCAGCUUAUAUAUAAUUGCUAUUACUUGCUGGGCACUUAAAUGCUCAUCCUUGCUUAAAUUAAAUGUUUUCAGUUAUGUAUGAGCAACCUGAAGGCUCAGGCACGAACAAAGGAAAAGGAAAGCUGAUCGAAUAAGUGUGUAUUAUGAGUUAAUGGUUAUAGUUAUAUUGGUAUCUAUUCAAGUAUUGUAAGGAAUGUAUUUGAAGGUCACGUACCUGGGGAC
This 2179-nucleotide long non-coding RNA is filed under the name Panax ginseng (ginseng). Its description in RNAcentral is "long non-coding RNA (PGIN_LNC000854)". The record is from RNAcentral. Lineage: Eukaryota; Viridiplantae; Streptophyta; Magnoliopsida; Apiales; Araliaceae.